GGAGCUUCCCCGGUUGAUGUUUGCGGCGGACGGGUGAAUAACACGUGGGUAACCUACCUAUAAGACUGGGAUAACUUCGGGAAACCGGAGCUAAUACCGGAUAAUAUUUCGAACCGCAUGGUUCGAUAGUGAAAGAUGGUUUUGCUAUCACUUAUAGAUGGACCCGCGCCGUAUUAGCUAGUUGGUAAGGUAACGGCUUACCAAGGCGACGAUACGUAGCCGACCUGAGAGGGUGAUCGGCCACACUGGAACUGACACACGGUCCAGACUCCUACGGGAGGCAACAAUAGGGAAUCUUCCGCAAUGGGCAAAAGCCUGACGGAGCAGCGCCACGUGAGUGAUGAAGGUCUUCGGAUCGUAAAACUCUGUUAUUAGGGAAGAACAUACGUGUAAGUAACUAUGCACGUCUUGACGGUACCUAAUCAGAAAGCCACGGCUAACUACGUGCCAGCAGCCGCGGUAAUACGUAGGUGGCAAGCGUUAUCCGGAAUUAUUGGGCGUAAAGCGCGCGUAGGCGGUUUUUUAAGUCUGAUGUGAAAGCCCACGGCUCAACCGUGGAGGGUCAUUGAAAACUGAAAAACUUGAGUGCAGAAGAGGAAAGUGGAAUUCCAUGUGUAGCGGUGAAAUGCGCAGAGAUAUGGAGGAACACCAGUGGCGAAAGCGACUUUCUGGUCUGUAACUGACGCUGAUGUGCGAAAGCGUGGGAUCAAACAAGAUUAGAUACCCUGGUAGUCCACGCCGUAAACGAUGAGUGCUAAGUGUUAUGGGGUUUCCGCCCCUUAGUGCUGCAACUAACGCAUUAAGCACUCCGCCCUGGGGGAGUACGACCGCGACGUUGAAACUCAAAGGAACUGACGGGUACCCGCACAAGCCGGUGGAGCAUGUGAUUAAUUCUAAGCAACGCGAAAACCUACAAAUCUUGACAUCGUUGGACACUCUAGAGAUAGAGCUUCCCUUCGGGGACAAAGUGACAGGUGUGCAUGAUGUCGUCAGCUC
Molecule: ribosomal RNA, 996 nt
Filed under: Staphylococcus sp. R23.NA
Lineage: Bacteria; Bacillati; Bacillota; Bacilli; Caryophanales; Staphylococcaceae
Description: bacterial SSU rRNA
Rfam family: Bacterial small subunit ribosomal RNA
Source: RNAcentral